Molecule: long non-coding RNA, 977 nt
Organism: Mercenaria mercenaria
Lineage: Eukaryota; Metazoa; Mollusca; Bivalvia; Venerida; Veneridae
Exons: 2
Source: RefSeq, a predicted model, not a curated record
GGUGCAUUUUUAGCUCACCUGAGCACGAAGUGCUCAAAGGUGAGCUUUAGUGAUCACCCUGUGUCCGGCGUCCUUCGUCGUCCGGCGUCCGUCCGUCCGUCCGUCCGUCGUCAACAAUUUGACUGUUAACACUCUAGAGGUCACUUUUUUGACCCAAUCUUAAUGAAACUUGGUCAGAAUGUUACCCUCAAUAAAAUCUUGGACGAGUUCGAUAUUGGGUCAUCUGGGGUCAAAAACUAGGUCAUCAGGUCAAAUCAAAGGAAAAGCUUGUUAACACUCUAGAGGUCACAUUUUUGGCCCAAUCUUAAUGAAACUUGGUCAGAAUGUUACCCUCAAUAAAAUCUUGGACGAGUUCGAUAUUAAGUCAUCUGGGGUCAAAAACUAGGUCAUCAGGUCAAAUCAAAGGAAAAGCUUGUUAACACUCUAGAGGCCACAUUUUUGACUAUAUCUUCAUGAAACUUAGUCAGAAUGUUAAACUUGAUGGUCUUUAGGUCAAGUUCGAAUCUGGGUCAUGUCGGGUCAAAAACUAGGUCACGGGGGUCAAAUAAAAGGAAUAGUUAGUUAACACUUUAGAGGCCACAUUUAUGACCAUAUCUUAAUGAAACUUGGUCAGAAUGUUAAUCUUGAUGAUCUAUAGGUCAGGUUUAAAUCUGGGUCAGGUGUGUUAAAAAACUAGGUCACUAGGUCAAAUCAAAGGAAAAGCUUGUUAAGACUCUAGAGGCCAGAUUUAUGACUGUAUCUUCAUGAAACUUAAUCAGAAUGUUAAUCUUGAUGAUCUUUAGGUCAAGUUCGAAUCUGGGUCAUGUGGGGGCAAAAACUAGGUCACCGGGUCAAAUCAAAGGAAAAGCUAGUUAACACUUUAGAGGCUACAUUUAUGACCAUAUCUUAAUGAAACUUGGUCAGAAUGUUGAUCUUGAUGAUCUUUAGGUCAAUAGGUCAGGUGAGCGAUACAGGGCCUUCAUGGCCCUCUUGUUAAU